This is an RNA transcript of Prionailurus viverrinus (fishing cat), 1956 nucleotides long. It is a transcript of the gene named ketohexokinase, with no coding region annotated. NCBI's taxonomy places the organism in Eukaryota, Metazoa, Chordata, Mammalia, Carnivora, Felidae. The transcript has 7 exons. The record is from RefSeq and is a predicted model, not a curated record.
GGCUAGGGCUGAGGGGGCCAGGCCGCAGCUUCGAGGCCCCGCACUACCGCGGUCUCGGGUCUGGAGUGGGAGUCGCAGGUGCAGGAGAGGGAGGGGCAAGGGGCGCCUUUCUACUGCACUUUUUUUUGCAUUCAGGAGAUUGCCUAGCUGCAAUCUAGAGAGGUUUGCAUGAGCUUCGAGUCUGCCUGACAAGUGAGGAAAUGAGGCCAAGAAGCGGAAAAGGUUGCCAUCUGCUGGGCCACGCCACCUGCUAAGGGAAGGCUGGGGACCAAGGCCUCGGGGGUCUGCGUUCCCAGGCCCGCCCGGUGGGCGUGGGGAGCAAGGGCCCUGCUCCGUUCCCUCGAGACUGCAGAAAGCUCUCUGAGGGGAGGAGCUCAGGACGCAGAGGAGGAGCCAAGUCCGCCCCAGGAGCGGGGACCCGAUCCUCGGGGAUAAAACGCAGAGCCCGGGAGGAACCCCGUCAGCCAGGCGGGCAGAAAGCUCCGGGAGCGGCCUCAUGGAAGACAAGCAGAUCCUGUGCGUGGGGCUAGUGGUGCUGGACAUCAUCAAUGUUGUGGACAAGUACCCGGAGGAGGACACGGACAGCAGGUGCUUGUCCCAGAGAUGGCAGCGUGGAGGCAACGCAUCUAAUUCCUGCACCGUCCUCUCCCUGCUUGGAGCCCCCUGUGCCUUCAUGGGCUCGCUGGCCCCGGGCCAUGUUGCCGACCCCCUCUGCUUGCAGCCAGAGUCCCUGCCGCCUCCCUCCAGUCCCCAAACCCUGUCGAACUACACCUCCCCUGGGUUACUCCGUCUCGGCAGUUUUGUCCUGGAUGACCUCCGCCGCUAUUCUGUGGACCUACGCUACACAGUCUUUCAGACCACGGGCUCUGUCCCCAUCUCCACAGUCAUCAUCAACGAGGCCAGUGGUAGCCGCACCAUCCUCCAUGCCUACAGGAACCUGCCAGAUGUGUCUGCUGCGGACUUUGACAAGGUUGAUCUGACCCGGUUCAAGUGGAUCCACAUCGAGGGCCGGAAUGCAUCGGAACAGGUGCAGAUGCUGCAGCGGAUAGAACAGCACAAUGCCAGGCAGCCUCCAGGUCAAAAGAUCCGAGUGUCCGUGGAAGUGGAGAAGCCCCGAGAGGAGCUGUUCCAGCUGUUUGGCUAUGGAGACGUGGUGAAGAAACGACCCAGAGGGCGUAGUUGCAUUAGGAAAACAAAACAAAAACGCCCGCGAGAGCCAGAGGUGUAACGUGGCAGUGGUAGCUCUCACCGCCAGAUGGCGCUCAAGGCUCGCUGUGGGUUUUCAAUUGCAGGGACAUUCGUUGCUCUAGAACAAAUAAACCGGGGAUUUUUGCGUCACAAUUUACAGGGCUGUAUUCUAGCAUAUCUAGAGCAAGUAUGAAAACGCAUCCCAGUGGGACAGCGAGAUACUACGUUGUGGAUUUAGGUGGCCACGUUGGAGGAGUGACAUUGCACUAUGGGGGCAACGCCAGGCUGCUGGUGAUAUGCGCGUCUGAAGCCCUGAGCUGCCGUGGAAGAAGUCUGGCGUCCCUGAAGCUACCACGCCGAAAAGACUGGAGAAACCACAGACAGCGAGAUGUCUGAGGAGCCUCGGCUGUUCUGGCCUUCAGCCGCUCACAUCUCCCCAGCCCAAGGACCAUCCAGGAGAAAGAGCAAACCUUCAGGUGAUUCCGACCCCCAGCUUUCCAGGUGCCCCAGCCCACACUGAAUAUGGAGCAGAAACAUGCUUGUCUCCAUACCCCUGCCCAGACGGCACGCUCGUGAGCAAAGUCAAAGUUAUUGUUUUCAGCCACAAAGUUUCGAGGCGGUUUGUUAAAGUUGUCUGAGUAAUCUGAACUGCGUGUGACCUGGGCAGUCACACAGGGGCCCAGCUCUCGGAGGGGCCCUGUGCUUAGUGUAAUACUCUGCUGUCCCUGUUUUGAAAUUCUUUUUCUUUAAUAUAUUUUUUAAUGUUUA